CCCAACCUACUCCAAUUUGAUUCUUUUCACAUAUUUAGACAUAAUAUAGUACUAUGAAAUGUUUCUGACCUAAAAUUUUACGAAAUAUGAUUGUUUACAUUAAAAUGUAAAAGUUGAUGUUACAGUGUGAUAAGGUGAAAAAAGUGACAUUUUAUGUCUAGAAAGUCACUUUACAUCAAAAGUGCAAUAACAAAACUAGUUCCCAUUCAUUCUGUGUCCCCUUACACACUUGUGCUCUUUAUCCGCUCAAAACGCUAUACAGCGAACGAGAAGGCGCUAGGAGCAAAGGAAAGUGGUUUUUCUAACAAACUCAUAUAAUCAGUUGCCCGACCUACUCCAAUUUGAUUCUUUUCACAUAGUUAGACAUAAUAUAGUACUAUGAAAUGUUUCUGACCUAAAAUAUUACGAAAUAUGAUUGUUUACAUUAAAAUGCAAAAGUUGAUGAAAAAGUAUGAUAAGGUGAAAAAAGUGACAUUUUAUGUCUAGAAAGUCACUUUUCAUCAAAAGUACAAUAACAAAACUAGUUCCCAUUCAUUCUGUGUCCCCUUACACACUUGUGCUCUUUAUCCGCUCAAAACGCUAUACAGCGAACGAGAAGGCGCUAGGAGCAAAGGAAAGUGGUUUUUCUAACAAACUCAUAUAAUCAGUUGCCCGACCUACUCCAAUUUGAUUUUUUUCACAUAGUUAGACAUAAUAUAGUACUAUGAAAUGUUUCUGACCUAAAAUAUUACGAAAUAUGAUUGUUUACAUUAAAAUGUAAAAGUUGAUGUUACAGUGUGAUAAGGUGAAAAAAGUGACAUUUUAUGUCUAGAAAGUCACUUUACAUCAAAAGUGCAAUAACAAAACUAGUUCCCAUUCAUUCUGUGUCCCCUUACACACUUGUGCUCUUUAUCCGCUCAAAACGCUAUACAGCGAACGAGAAGGCGCUAGGAGCAAAGGAAAGUGGUUUUUCUAACAAACUCAUAUAAUCAGUUGCCCGACCUACUCCAAUUUGAUUCUUUUCACAUAUUUAGACAUAGUAUAGUACUAUGAAAUGUUUCUGACCUAAAAUAUUACGAAAUAUGAUUGUUUACAUUAAAAUGUAAAAGUUGAUGUUACAGUGUGAUAAGGUGAAAAAAGUGACAUUUUAUGUCUAGAAAGUGACUUUUCAUCAAAAGUACAAUAACAAAACUAGUUCCCAUUCAUUCUGUGUCCCCUUACACACUUGUGCUCUUUAUCCGCUCAAAACGCUAUACAGCGAACGAGAAGGCGCUAGGAGCAAAGGAAAGUGGUUUUUCUAACAAACUCAUAUAAUCAGUUGCCCGACCUACUCCAAUUUGAUUUUUUCACAUAGUUAGACAUAAUAUAGUACUAUGAAAUGUUUCUGACCUAAAAUAUUACGAAAUAUGAUUGUUUACAUUAAAAUGUAAAAGUUGAUGUUACAGUGUGAUAAGGUGAAAAAAGUGACAUUUUAUGUCUAGAAAGUCACUUUACAUCAAAAGUGCAAUAACAAAACUAGUUCCCAUUCAUUCUGUGUCCCCUUACACACUUGUGCUCUUUAUCCGCUCAAAACGC
This is a long non-coding RNA of Ictalurus punctatus (channel catfish), 1554 nucleotides long. The record is from Ensembl. NCBI's taxonomy places the organism in Eukaryota, Metazoa, Chordata, Actinopteri, Siluriformes, Ictaluridae.